AUUGAACGCUGGCGGCAGGCCUAACACAUGCAAGUCGAGCGGUAACAUUUCUAGCUUGCUAGAAGAUGACGAGCGGCGGACGGGUGAGUAAUGCUUGGGAACAUGCCUUGAGGUGGGGGACAACAGUUGGAAACGACUGCUAAUACCGCAUAAUGUCUACGGACCAAAGGGGGCUUCGGCUCUCGCCUUUAGAUUGGCCCAAGUGGGAUUAGCUAGUUGGUGAGGUAAUGGCUCACCAAGGCGACGAUCCCUAGCUGGUUUGAGAGGAUGAUCAGCCACACUGGGACUGAGACACGGCCCAGACUCCUACGGGAGGCAGCAGUGGGGAAUAUUGCACAAUGGGCGCAAGCCUGAUGCAGCCAUGCCGCGUGUGUGAAGAAGGCCUUCGGGUUGUAAAGCACUUUCAGUCAGGAGGAUUAGUAGUAAUACCUGCUAGCUGUGACGUUACUGACAGAAGAAGCA
This 462-nucleotide ribosomal RNA is filed under the name uncultured bacterium. RNAcentral's name for it is "bacterial SSU rRNA". It matches the Rfam family "Bacterial small subunit ribosomal RNA", at positions 30 to 492 of the family's 1533-position model. The record is from RNAcentral.